Non-coding RNA from Pteropus alecto (black flying fox), 304 nucleotides. The record is from Rfam. Lineage: Eukaryota; Metazoa; Chordata; Mammalia; Chiroptera; Pteropodidae.
GCCAGGCACGGUGGUGCACACCUAUAGUCCCAGCUACUUGGGAGGCUGAGGCAGGAGGAUCGCUUGAGCCCAGGAGUUCUGGGCUGUAGUGCGCUAUGCCGAUCGGAUGUCCACACUAAGUUUGGCAUCAAUAUGGUGACCUCCCGGGGGCGGUGGACCACCAGGUUGCCUAAGGAGGGGUGAACCGGCCCAGGUCAGAAAUGGAGCAGGUCAAAACUCCUGGGCUGAUCAGUAGUAGUAGGAUCGUGCCUAUGAAUAGUCACAGCACUCCUGGCCUGGGCAACAUAGCAAGAUCCCGUCUCUA